GAUAUUGCACAAUGGGCGAAAGCCUGAUGCAGCCAUGCCGCGUGUGUGAAGAAGGCCUUCGGGUUGUAAAGCACUUUCAGCKRGGAGGAAAGGGAUGYRGUUAAUAMCUGCAUUCUGUGACGUUACUCRCAGAAGAAGSACCGGCUAACUUCGUGCCAGCAGCCGCGGUAAUACGARGGGUGCRAGCGUUAAUCGGAAUUACUGGGCGUAAAGCGYGCGYAGGCGGUUUGUUAAGYMAGAUGUGAAAGCCCCGGGCUCAACCUGGGAAYUGCAUUUURAACUGGYWGGCUAGAAUCUUGUAGAGGGGAGUGGAAUUUUUCCCGGUGAGCGGUGAAAUGCGUAGAGAUUGAGACAUCAGUGGCGAAGGCGRCUMCCUGGACAAAGAUUGACGCUCAUGYRCGAAAGCGUGGGGAGCRAACAGGAUUAGAUACCCUGGUAGUCCACRCCGUAAACGAUGUCWACUAGCCGUCUGUGGACUUGAWCCGUGGGUGGCGUAGCUAACGCGCUAAGUUGACCGCCUGGGGAGUACGGCCGCAAGGUUAAAACUCAAAUGAAUUGACGGGGGCCCGCACAACGGUGGAGCAUGUGGUUUAAUUCGAUGCAACGCGAAGAACCUUACCAACUCUUGACAUCCUCAGAAGCKAYCAGAGAUGGACGUGUGCCUUCGGGAACUGAGAKACAGGUGCUGCAUGGCUGUCGUCAGCUCGUGUUGUGAGAUGUUGGUUAAGUCCCGCAACGAGCGCAACCCUAUCCUUAUUUGCCAGCGAGUAGUGUCGGGMACUCUAAGGAGACUGCCGGUGAYAAACCGGAGGAAGGUGGGGACGACGUCAAGUCAUCAUGGCCCUUACGRGWWGGGCUACACACGUGCUACAAUGGCAAGUACAGAGGGMAGCAAUCCYGCGAGGKKRAGCGAAUCCCWCAAAGCUUGUCGUAGUCCGGAUUGGAGUCUGCAACUCGACUCCAUGAAGUCGGAAUCGCUAGUAAUCGYAGAUCAGAAUGGURCGGUGAAUACGU
RNAcentral lists this ribosomal RNA (1014 nucleotides) under marine bacterium MSC44. Its description in RNAcentral is "partial 16S ribosomal RNA". It matches the Rfam family "Bacterial small subunit ribosomal RNA", at positions 359 to 1371 of the family's 1533-position model. The record is from RNAcentral.